AGUGAAUGCUGGCGGUAGGCCUAACACAUGCAAGUCGAACGGCAGCACAGUAAGAGCUUGCUCUUACGGGUGGCGAGUGGCGGACGGGUGAGGAAUACAUCGGAAUCUACUUUUUCGUGGGGGAUAACGUAGGGAAACUUACGCUAAUACCGCAUACGACCUACGGGUGAAAGCAGGGGAUCUUCGGACCUUGCGCGAUUGAAUGAGCCGAUGUCGGAUUAGCUAGUUGGCGGGGUAAAGGCCCACCAAGGCGACGAUCCGUAGCUGGUCUGAGAGGAUGAUCAGCCACACUGGAACUGAGACACGGUCCAGACUCCUACGGGAGGCAGCAGUGGGGAAUAUUGGACAAUGGGCGCAAGCCUGAUCCAGCCAUACCGCGUGGGUGAAGAAGGCCUUCGGGUUGUAAAGUCCUUUUGUUGGGAAAGAAAAGCAGCAGGUUAAUACCCCGCUGUUCUGACGGUACCCAAAGAAUAAGCACCGGCUAACUUCGUG
This 492-nucleotide ribosomal RNA is filed under the name uncultured bacterium. RNAcentral describes it as "partial 16S ribosomal RNA". It matches the Rfam family "Bacterial small subunit ribosomal RNA", at positions 29 to 507 of the family's 1533-position model. The record is from RNAcentral.